GAUCUUGGUCAGGACGAACGCUGGCGGCGUGCCUAACACAUGCAAGUCGAGCGAGGAGAUCCUUCGGGAUGAUCCUAGCGGCGGACGGGUGAGUAACACGUGGGCAACCUGCCUCAUAGAGAGGAGUAGCCUUCCGAAAGGGAGAUUAAUACCUCAUAACAUUGCAGUUUCGCAUGGAACAGCAAUUAAAGGAGUAAUCCGCUAUGAGAUGGGCCCGCGGCGCAUUAGCUAGGUUGGUGAGGUAACGGCUCACCAAGGCGACGAUGCGUAGCCGACCUGAGAGGGUGAUCGGCCACAUUGGGACUGAGACACGGCCCAGACUCCUACGGGAGGCAGCAGUGGGGAAUAUUGCACAAUGGGGGAAACCCUGAUGCAGCCAACGCCGCGUGAGUGAUGACGGCCUUCGGGUUGUAAAGCUCUGUCUUCAGGGACGAUAAUGACGGUACCUGAGGAGGAAGCCACGGCUAACUACGUGCCAGCAGCAGC
This 486-nucleotide ribosomal RNA is filed under the name uncultured bacterium. RNAcentral describes it as "bacterial SSU rRNA". It matches the Rfam family "Bacterial small subunit ribosomal RNA", at positions 15 to 518 of the family's 1533-position model. The record is from RNAcentral.